This 2013-nucleotide long non-coding RNA is filed under the name Salmo salar (Atlantic salmon). Its description in RNAcentral is "lncRNA (ENSSSAG00000085167.1, ENSSSAG00000105820.1)". The record is from RNAcentral. Lineage: Eukaryota; Metazoa; Chordata; Actinopteri; Salmoniformes; Salmonidae.
CACUAAUGAAGAAAGAAGAAGACAUGAGGAAGUUUUGCCGCGUUUCUUUGUUUUGGAUCUUCAGGCGCAGUUUUUUGACGUUUCGAUACUUCAGAAACCUUUUUAUUUCGCUUACGAAUAACGAGCUAAACGCAGUUUUAUGAUUCUGUGUUGAUUGAACCCAUAUGAGCUAAUUUAGUAUUCAGCGUCUCUGUCGUCUAGCCACUGUAGCUAGUUAACGUUAGCUAGCAACACAGGAGCCUUUCUUGACGUCAGUCGCUAAGGCUUGCUCAUAUCGUGGAUGGUAAUCAAACCCAGCCUGCCACUCUCCUUUACCGGACCUAAAUCUGAGGGUCCUGAUUGUAACAGUAAAGCCCAGAGUGAACAGCAGGCUCCAGAGAUGGCAUCAGUGAAGCAGGAAGACUGCAGUCAAACACUGGGGCUGAAUGUCAACAUUAAAGAUGAAGUAAAGGAGGAAGAGAUUGAAACAUUUGUGUAUCAUGGGCCGGCUGGAGAGCUCAAAGAAAAGACGGAAGAAAAGAAAGUCUUACUACUCAAAGAUAAAGGAAAAAGAAAACCCAAAGGAAUGGAGAAGGAAACUGAAAAAAAGAGGCACCGAUUCACCCCUGGAGAUGAGGAUCUUAUUAUUUCAGGGGUACUUGGGCACUGGGAGGACCUCUUCGGUGCCCAGGCCCACAUUCGCCCCCGGGGGUCAAAGACGGCAACCUGGAACACCAUCGCGGGGACCUUGACCCCUACAUCAGCUGUGGCGAGAUGUGGUGAUGAUGUCCGGAAGAAGUACAAUCUCAUAAGGAGCCAAAUCAAGCAAAAGGUUUCUUCUAUCCGGACAUUGUCCACCCAGACUGGUGGGGGGCCCAACACCGUGCCGGCGCUGACCGACCUGGAGCAGCAACUGCUUUCCCGAAUGGCAGAGACCGAAGCUGGUGUAGGGCCUGCUGAUUUGGGAUUUGAAGGACCUGACUCCGCUGAACUUGAGGUUGAUGUUGAAAUGUCCGGAAAGCAACACCCGACAGUUCAAAGAUAAGAGGUCUUACCACUGUCUUCACUAUGAGAAGAGUUUCCCAUUCCCAUCAUAUCUUAAAAGACACCUGCAGAAACAUACAGAAGAGAAGCCUUACUCCUGCCCUGACAGUGGGAAGUGCUUCAGAACAACUCAUUUAACCACUCACCAGGGAGUGCACACAGGGAAGAAAUCGUAUUCCUGCUCUGACUGUGGCAAGAGUUUCUCAAGACUGAACAUCCUAAAGUUACACCAGCGAACACACACAGGAGAUAAAUCAUUCUCCUGCUCGGACUAGAAAAGUGAUUCGCUAAAUCUAGUAACCUAACAGUGCAUAAGAGUGCACACAGGGGAGAAAUCGUACUCCUGCACUGACUGCGUAAAGUGCUUUGCUACAUCUAGUCAGCUAACCGGUCAUAAGAAUGCACACGGGAGAAAUCGUACUCCUUCUCUGACUGCGUAAAGUGCUUCAUCGCAUAAGCUAACACUUCAUUAAAGAGUGCACACGGGAGAAUCCUUAUUCCUGCUCUGACUGUGGCAAGAGUUGACUGAACAGCCUAAAAUUACACCAGCGAACACACUCGGAGAGAAACCUUACUCAUGCUCUCACUGUGGAAAGUGCUUUGCUACAUCUAGUCAGCUAACCGGUCAUAAGAGUGCACACGGGAAAAGCCUUACUCCUGCUCUGACUGUGGGAAGUGUUUAUCUAAACUGUACAGCCUAAAACGUCACCAGAAAAAACACACACACAGAGGACUGAACCCUUCUGAAUGUUCUGACUGUGGGAAGGACUGAACCCUUAUGACUGUGGGAAGUGAGUCACAAAAAUAGUCUAACUAUUCAACAGGGAGUUCACACGGGAAAAAAAUCUGUGGGAGGGGAUUUCACUCAAAUCGGAUAAGAGUGAAAGUUUGUACACUUAAAUCCCAUUGAAAUGAAGAGGGCAGUCCAUGAGCACAGACGAAAGAUGUUAAGGAUCAGGGAAAAUUCUGUAUUGAGGAAUGGUCUAAGAU